UGAAAUACGAUUAAAAAUACAUAUGUAAAUUUUAACGCCAAUAGGACAGAAAUCUACAUCGCGAUCAAAAUAUAACAAUAUACCUGAAAGUCUAGAUACGAUAACAGGCAUUUUUUCAUUAUCUUUUGUUAUUAUUUUUUUUUUCUGAAUACUUUGAAAUUUGGAAUACACAGAUAAGUAAGGGGGCAUAACCACUGACUUUGUUGGUAAUUUAUUUUUUACAAUGGAAAUUUUCUCAUUAAGUUC
Molecule: long non-coding RNA, 246 nt
Filed under: Mytilus galloprovincialis (Mediterranean mussel)
Lineage: Eukaryota; Metazoa; Mollusca; Bivalvia; Mytilida; Mytilidae
Source: RNAcentral